UACGUAGGGUGCAAGCGUUGUUCGGAAUUAUUGGGCGCAAAGCGCGUGUAGGUGGUUAGAUAAGUCGAUUGUGAAAUCCCUGGGCUCAACCGAGGAAGUGCAGUCGAAACUAUCUAGCUGGAGGACGGUAGAGGAAGGUGGAAUUCCUAGUGUAGAGGUGAAAUUCGUAGAUAUUAGGAGGAAUACCGGCGGCGAAGGCGGCCUUCUGGGCCGUUCCUGACACUGAGACGCGAAAGCGUGGGUAGCAAACAG
Molecule: ribosomal RNA, 252 nt
Filed under: uncultured bacterium
Lineage: Bacteria
Description: partial 16S ribosomal RNA
Rfam family: Bacterial small subunit ribosomal RNA
Source: RNAcentral